GAAAGAGGCAGUUCUCAUUGUUGACAAGCAAACGCUUCAAGGGGCGGUAAACGGAAUCUCCCACAAGACUCUUUUCAAUGGCUCUAUUUUGCCUAGCAAGUGUGCGCUCCAGAUAGGAAGAGGGACAGAGUUCAGCCAUUUCACUGGAUACAUGGACGAUAUCACCGUGUAUUUGUGUCGACCGAAAAACUUUUAGCUAAUCGGUUGACACCGCUCUAGCAUCAUCUGUUUCCUAGUGCCUACGAUUAUUUAAAAAAAGAUUUCGCCUUACGCCUGCACAAUAUUGACCAAAAUGAUUGUAAAAUAAUUUUGAUACUUCACUUCACCUUUGCUUCCGUUUAUUAAUCAUAAUAAUAUUCAUGCUACAUGAGAACAGGGUUCGCCUAUGAUUCGAAAUCAUUUUUAUUUAAUUAAUAUUGAAAUCAGAAAUUGUAGUGCUUUAUUUAUCGUCUGUUCUUGAGUUCAUGUUGGAAAAGUUUUUGUCAUAACUAUCAACUUCAUCCCGG
RNA transcript from Aplysia californica (California sea hare), 506 nucleotides. RefSeq lists it as uncharacterized. The transcript has 3 exons. Lineage: Eukaryota; Metazoa; Mollusca; Gastropoda; Aplysiida; Aplysiidae. The record is from RefSeq and is a predicted model, not a curated record.